UGGCCAUUUUGAAUUCAACUCAUUAUUGCAGUAAAACUGGUACAGAGUAACAGAUUACAAAGCUCAUGGCACAGUCACUGAAAAAGAGAAAUGAGGUGUGUAUGUACAACAAGGAGGAAAAAGAAAAAAAGUUAACAUUUUGGCUAAUAGAAACACCAGGGGUAACAUAAAAAUGAUGAUACUGUAAUUCGGGAGAUGACUUGAUUAUACAACAAAGAGAAAAUAUGAAAUGAAGCAUUGCGAAGAAAAAGAAAACAUUACUUAAAAAACACAUUUAGCACUUACACCGACAGAUUCAAUCCUAGUGUUUAACCUAGGUCCGAGUCAAAGCAGCUUUUUUCCUUUUGACUAACAAAAAAAAGCUCAAUUUUAAUGGCAAAAACUAAAAAAAAUAAAAACAACAAAAGACUGAAACUGCCUUGCACACGAUCGGAUUUCUUUUUGGGGAAAUAGCUGAAGAGAUUGUUUGCUGACGACCUGCUUCUUUAUAUUAGCAAUUUUCUCCAAAUCUGUUUUUUCAAAAAAAAUUUCCAUAUAUUAUUCUUGAAUCAGGUGCUGAGGGUCUUUCAUUUUAACAUUCACAUCAACAUUUACAACCCAUCUCGAAAGAAAAAUAAAAUGCACUGGAGUCAGAGCCGGCCACGGCCACCAGGGGGCGCCAAACUCAAUUGCUAACACUCUUUGGGUACCUCAGUUGCGAUUUUGUCAAUUUUUCAACAAAUUUUCAUUCUUUUCAGUGUUUUCUUUUUUCAGAAAAUCAAAGUAACUUCUUAAAAACAAGUGACUCCCGUCGGCUCCGAUACGAGUGAUGCUUGGUGCAAGCGAAGACAACAGUUUGACUUACACUUCGGAUGGUCGGCAAGCGAAACCACAAACAGUACUUGAGCACCACCGAUCAAAACUAAAAAGUUGGCACCUGGCUACUGUAACCGGACAAACACAACCUCACCAAAAACUCAAAAACAUCGUCGUGAUCAUCGUCUCUCACUGGCAAAUCUUCACCCCACAGAAAAAAAAAAAACCCACAGAAAAUAAAAUGGCUGAUGACUAUUUACACAUAUCUCUGCAAAAAAUACAAUUAAAAACGGUAAUGUCAUGAGGCAUGGAGAAUUUAAACAAAUAUCAUAUAUCUUUUAUGAUUUCCGAUUCCUCCCUUGAACCCCUCAAACAUGUCCCCCACAGAUAUAAACAGAAUAUUGAAAAAAAAUAAUAAAAAAACAAAAACAAAAAUGAUUUCUGAACUUUUUGACCUCACUACAUUUUCAAUGUGACACAUUUUUUCAACACACACUGAAUUUUUACUUUUUCAUCUUUUAACAAAAAAACCGAUACAACAUAUUUCUAAAACACAAAAUAACAACAGUCUACAUGUAAAAAUAUAACUUUUACAUACACAAUUUCAAAAUAAUGGUAAAGUUUGCCAUUUUGUUGCAUACAAUUUACAAACGUCUGUGUUGUUGUUGUUGCCUUGGAUAGAUAGCAUUGAAUGGAGCUGAUGGAACUCCGGUCCCAUUUUUUGUCCUGCGCAGGGUGCCGUACUAGUCGGAAGGGCGUUGUCAUGGCAACAACAGAGAAUACAACGAAGUUCAGUCGGAAAAUUUCAUAACACUGAGGGGCCUCGCCAACUUCUGCCAGUUCAGUCUUUGAGAAAAUAACUCCUCCUUCACUGAGCAAACGCUCCGUUGCAACGGAAAAUAAAAAAAUAACAGAAAACGGCACCCUCGUUAUAUACUGUAUAUACUUUUUUUGUACAUUUAUAUAUAGAUUGAUUUAUUCAAAUAAAUUCUUUUCCAGUUUCCGUGCCUUUCCUGUUGAUUGGGUAGGAUUUUUAAACCGCGUCAAAAAUGACCGCCGACAGAGAACAAUGCUGCCGGAUAGCAAAUUGUGUCGUGUUUUUUUUUUUUUCAAUGUUUUAUCGUUGUUUUGUUUAUGUUUUUUUUUCUUUUUUGUAUAUUUUUCUGUAAUAGACAUGUAAACCAGAACAGACAAAAAAGUAAUAAGAGAAAAGAUUUUUCUUAUAAAAGAGAGCGAGAAAGAGAGAGAAAGAGAAGGAGGAGAGAGAAGAACGAAGAAAAAAAACCAAAAUUCGUUUUACAACAUACGACCACACACUUUGUACUGAAGACUACAUUGGCUUACGGACAAGCCGAUCAAAUAUUGAUAAAAAGCUGAUAAGCUAUAAUACAAGAAGAGACGCGUUGUUCACCAUGGAAACAGGGUUGGGGCUUGGAUCAGGAAAGUGGGUCUGGGGGGGGUUCUGGAGGACUGGGAGGACUGGGAGGACUGGGACGGGGGCUAGUUUUGCUAAAUCAAGCGUCUGUCCCAUCGGCUUGAAGCCAGAACACGCUGUCUACUUACAUAUAAGCGUACAGUACAUUAAAUACAGUUUAGUUUUUUUAUCCAAAAAAUACUUUUUUUUCCUUUUUAGCUUUUUUUAAAUUCCCAGGUCUGGUAAAAAACCUGACUGCAUAGAACCUAACGACUAAGAACAGGUUUCCCUAAACUUGCAUCCUAUUAAAAGACCAGGUAAAUGUCCUCCUCUGGCAACUUGAAUGAUAUGAACUCUAAAAAGGCACAUUGGUAGAAGUGUGAAUGUUCAAAUUGCAUCUGUGGGACCGCUCAGGUGGGGCGAGAGACUGGGGAGAGGGGCUGGGGCUCCGGGUUCAGGGCUCCGGGUUCAGGGAUCCGGGUUCAGAGCUCCGGGUUCAGGGCUUGUAAGGCGAGGGUCAGCAGAGCACUGGGACUGGGGAUUAAACUGGGCUUCAAACUGGGGUGAAUGGGGAAUUCCAGAUUGACACCAGGAAGCUAAUGCUCUUACAGAUGUUCCAACUGUUCUUGAUUACUUAAGUAUUCUUCCUAAUUUGUCACUUUUGUCAGUUAUCUGAUCAUAUUACCUCCAAAUCAGCCUUAAUGAUUAUAAAACAGCUACGGUAGUACACUCUGAAAUGCUACAGUGAUGCAGCAUUUUCACUGGUUGGGUUUCUCAACUGGUUGUGAACUACUGAUCGGGUUACAAUUGAUUGAAAUCAUUGACUGUAUAUAAAAGAUGGAUGUAGCCUCUGGUUCUGCAUUCUUUCUCACAGCCAGCAGGGGGCAACUCCUUUGGUUGCAAAAAGGAGUCCAAUUGUACAGAAAUCUAAGAGAAAAUAACCCCAUUUCUACCUUAUAUGUCACCUCGAUAAAUGUUUUCCAAAUGACUUUAUGGUUUCAGUCGCUAGUUUCAAGCGUUUUAGAGCACAUUUAGUAAAUAAUGGUGGUAAUCUGACUAUAAUUGAUGAUAAAGCAGAGUAUUUUAUGAGGUGGGGUGCACCAUGCACUGUUUCUUUGGGUUCUCAGUUGGAUCCACCUACUACUUAUUAUGUCUAGUUUCAAAAGACCAAGAUGGCAAUGGGCAAAUUCCAAAUUUGAGACCUCAAAAUGGUACCCUAUAACCCAAAGGGUGACCUCAUUGUUGCUACAUCCAUCUUUUACAUACAGUCUAUGAUGGAAAUACAUAGAUUUUUGACAAAUAUUUGGAAUUUACGAGUACACUGGGCCUAUAGGAAACCCUGUAUCAGAUAUGUUGGAUUGCUGGAUGUCUUAGUUUUGUUUGGGGGAACCGGAAAACACAAAACUUGGCUCAUUCAGGCAGCUUGGAUCUGCUCAUAUUUGGUCCUCUGGUACAGAAGCAGCAGCUGUGCUUUCAUUCAACUGGUAAUCUGACUCAUUUAGCUACCUGGGAGUAUUACAACCCAACGCUAAAACAAUGGUGGCAUGUGAAACAACUUCUGGCUAACACUCCUGCUCACUACUGGUGUGUGUUUACCUUGGUCCAAUCAGUCCAGAUGGUCCUCCUCGCUAACAAGAACACCACUGGGAACUCUAAAGAUUCCUGAUUAGUUUUGAGUGCUCUGCACUGCACUGAAAAAGCUAAAUCUGUUGGAAAUGAUGCCAGAUAAGAAGGCGCUAACAGUUCUAGCAACAGACACCUCAACAACAACAAGGUCUAAUUCCAAGACGGCAAGUAGUGUCAAUCGGAAACCCCCUUCCCCAGUGAUGGGGGAGGUCUGAGUUUGGAGUUAGAGGCUUAGGGUUCUCAUCAGCCAGAUAGUAAGACAGAAAAUGUGGGAAUCUAAUGAAUCCAACACAGGAAUGCUUUGACUACUUCUUCUUGCCCCCCAGAAGACAAUGAUAAACCCCAUCGCCCUGAUGAUUGUUCCUUUGCUUCCCCCAUAGUGUCGUCUUUGUUUACACCUCUGGAUUCUGUCCUCGAGCUCCGGUUCCUUGUGAUUUUGCUCAGACUCAAUCCCAUAUGACUCCCCCAAGAGGCAUUCUGGACAUCGGAAGCACCCAAUCACGAUUCAGGGAAUGUGCUAAACAUGGAAAAGAAUUCACUUCAGUCCGGCUCUAAUCCACUCGUCAAUCGAUUUCUGUCAUCUGUCCAUCCUCUCAACCAUCUGCCUGGCAAAUCCUUCCAAUCAGUGUCCAAACUGCCCUCGCUAUUGAAUAUCCGACAAAGGUCUCUGAUUCAGGAUGUUCGCUAAGAGCUCUUUCUGCACCACAAACCCGCAGACAACUAGAUGUUAGAAAAGCCUUCCCUUCCUGCCGCGUUUAGA
Long non-coding RNA from Amphiprion ocellaris (clown anemonefish), 4595 nucleotides. Lineage: Eukaryota; Metazoa; Chordata; Actinopteri; Pomacentridae. The record is from Ensembl.